Molecule: ribosomal RNA, 253 nt
Filed under: uncultured bacterium
Lineage: Bacteria
Description: partial 16S ribosomal RNA
Rfam family: Bacterial small subunit ribosomal RNA
Source: RNAcentral
UACGGAGGGUGCAAGCGUUAUCCGGAUUUAUUGGGUUUAAAGGGUGCGUAGGCGGGAUAGUAAGUCAGUGGUGAAAGCCCUCAGCUCAACUGUGGAAUUGCCAUUGAUACUGCUGUUCUUGAAUAUAGUUGAAGUGAACGGAAUGUAACGUGUAGCGGUGAAAUGCAUAGAUAUGUUACAGAACACCAAUUGCGAAGGCAGUUCACUAAGCUAUUAUUGACGCUCAGGCACGAAAGCGUGGGGAGCAAACAGG